This 72-nucleotide transfer RNA is filed under the name Dipodomys ordii (Ord's kangaroo rat). It matches the Rfam family "tRNA". From Rfam's summary of the family: Transfer RNA (tRNA) molecules are approximately 80 nucleotides in length. Their secondary structure includes four short double-helical elements and three loops (D, anti-codon, and T loops). The record is from Rfam by way of RNAcentral. Lineage: Eukaryota; Metazoa; Chordata; Mammalia; Rodentia; Heteromyidae.
GGGAAGGUGGCUCAGUGGUAGAGUGCUUGCCUUGCAUGCAUGAGGCCCUGGGUUCCAUUCCUCAGCACCCCA